AUUGAACGCUGGCGGCAUGCCUUACACAUGCAAGUCGAACGGCAGCACGGGAGCAAUCCUGGUGGCGAGUGGCGAACGGGUGAGUAAUAUAUCGGAACGUGCCCAGUCGUGGGGGAUAACGCAGCGAAAGUUGUGCUAAUACCGCAUACGAUCUAUGGAUGAAAGCGGGGGAUCGCAAGACCUCGCGCGAUUGGAGCGGCCGAUAUCAGAUUAGGUUGUUGGUGAGGUAAAAGCUCACCAAGCCUGCGAUCUGUAGCUGGUCUGAGAGGACGACCAGCCACACUGGAACUGAGACACGGUCCAGACUCCUACGGGAGGCAGCAGUGGGGAAUUUUGGACAAUGGACGAAAGUCUGAUCCAGCAAUGCCGCGUGCAGGACGAAGGCCUUCGGGUUGUAAACUGCUUUUGUACUAGAACGAAAAAGUACUUAAUAACACUAGAGGCUCAUGACGGUACUGUAAGAAUAAGCACCGGCUAACUACG
RNAcentral lists this ribosomal RNA (483 nucleotides) under uncultured bacterium. Its description in RNAcentral is "bacterial SSU rRNA". It matches the Rfam family "Bacterial small subunit ribosomal RNA", at positions 30 to 505 of the family's 1533-position model. The record is from RNAcentral.